Molecule: long non-coding RNA, 510 nt
Organism: Melospiza georgiana
Lineage: Eukaryota; Metazoa; Chordata; Aves; Passeriformes; Passerellidae
Exons: 4
Source: RefSeq, a predicted model, not a curated record
GCGGCAGCGGGGGGAAGCCGGGGCGGGGCCCGGGGCCCAUCCCCGCCGCUGUGCCCCGCUGAGGGGGCUGCGCCCAGCGGCGCUUCCAAGCCCCACCCUGCACUUCAGAUAAUUCUGCCCUUUGGGAAAACACUGAUAUCAAGCACACUUCCUUCAGAAAUGAAGUUGGAUCUGUAACCUUUGACACAACCACCAGAGGAAGGUCCUGCAACCACACACAUCCUGGCAAAAGAGCCCCCAUGCUGCUCAGAGAUGAAUAUUUAUGUCAUGGAAAGUUCUCCAGAUUUCCUCAGGCUGAAGUCACACCAUCAGGUAGAGAUGGCAGCUGGCAGUAACCCACAUCAGCAAAAAUCAGAAAAGCUGCAGCAGGAUCACAGAAAAGAGCUUGGACCAGCACAGCACCAGGGCAGAUGGAUAUCAGCUAUCACAGACAAAUCGUAAAAUCGGGCACGUACUUAUGCAGCAGUGCCAACAAGCCAGCAUCAAACAUCAGUGAGCAAAGCCAUGGGC